Long non-coding RNA from Esox lucius (northern pike), 462 nucleotides. RefSeq lists it as uncharacterized. The transcript is spliced from 3 exons. Lineage: Eukaryota; Metazoa; Chordata; Actinopteri; Esociformes; Esocidae. The record is from RefSeq and is a predicted model, not a curated record.
GUUUUCAACGUUCUGAAAGAUGUUCAAUGGAAAGAUAUGUCACUCUUAAUACACAAGGUUCACUUGGAGACUUAUGUCAUUGUUAUGUCACAGUUGUUUAGUUGCAAAUGAUUGUAAAGGGUUCUUAAGUUUGCCCCGUUUCACCUUGGUUCAUCAACUUGCUACUCCGUUCUUCCGGUGUAAUACUUGUUGCUUCAGCUGUGUUCUCCCUUUUCUCUGUAGGAGAGCUUAUGACAUGAAACCAAACUUUCUGAAGCCUGGCACCAGGGAAAACCCCACUUGAUUGGACACUGCCCCUGGCCUUUCAGCCUGAGGCUCUAUGCGUACGUUCCAUUCUGAUGGCCAACUGCAAGGACAAGGGAGAAGCUACAGGGCUUAAUCUAUGCUGUCUGACCUCUGACCCCCAGUCACUCUGCCUGAGCUACGAGUACCGCCCUGACCCUCACACAAGCUAACGCAGUC